CCAAGGGCUUGGCUCUGUGGGACUGAGAGAGACAGAGAGACAGAGAGAGAGAGAGGCCCAGAAGAGGAGCCAGGGCAGAGGGCCGAGGGGAAGGAGUGGUGGCCCUGGAGGCCGUGACCUUCUCAGGCCCCGCUGGGUGGCCUGGCUUGCUGUUUGGGGCUGGCUAAUGAUUAGCAGGGAAAAUGUCACUCUGGGGCAUGCACACCUUCCGGGAGCGAGGGGCCAGUGGCAGGCAGGGGCCACCUCUGUGUUUACAGCCCGGCCUGUGACGUGACAGGGCCAUUUCAAGAGGAACUUCCUGCUAACCGGCAACCCGGGUGGAGAUUCUCGGCGGCCACACAGGUUUGUUCCUGCGUUUGCGUGGAGGGAGGACGGAGGCCCAGAUGCCUCUGGGAUCAGAGAAACUUCUGUGACACCGGAAGAGGAGAACUUCCUGCCUGAGGGUGAAGAAGACGCGUGGUGAUGGAGGGCAGGUGGAAAGGCAUCUCGACCGUGCUGGUCAUCCUGGCUGGGCUGGCAGCUUCUGGAUCCAGCUAUCAAAUCAUAGAAGGUCCCAAGAACGCAACGGUGCUGGAGGGCUCGGAGGCUCGCUUCAACUGCACGGUCUCACAGGGCUGGAGGCUCAUCAUGUGGGCUCUGAAUGGCACGGUGGUUCUGAGCAUCACGCCCUCAAAACCCAUCAUCACCAACGACCGCUUUACCUCUGUGAGCUACGAAGAGGGCGGCAACUCCAUCUCUGAGAUGAUAAUCCAUGAUGUGCAGCUCCGUGACGCGGGGCACAUCAAGUGCAGCCUCCAGAACAGUGACCGUGAUGCAUCCGCUUUCCUUUCAGUGCAAGUUAUGGGGGCAUUGCUCAUUCCCGGAGGCAACCUUGUAGUCGCGGAGGAUGAACCUUGUAAUGUGACUUGCCACGCAUGGGGCUGGAUCCCGCCCCCAGGUAUUUCCUGGGAUAUCGGCGUUCCCGUGAGCCACUCGAGCUAUCAUUCUGUUCCGGAGCCCAACAAUCCCCAAAGUGCAGUGAGCGUCCUGACUCUCACACCACAGGGCAAUGGGACUUUGACUUGUGUGGCUACCAUGAAAGGGCUGCAUGCCCACAAGUCUGUAACUGUGAAUCUUACUGUGGUUCAGCCUCCUUUGGGCAGUAAUGAUAAAGCAGGUACAUCAUUGCCUACCUGGGCCAUAAUUCUGCUUGCAGUAUCAUUUUCAUUGCUUUUGAUCCUGAUCAUUGUUCUGAUUAUAAUAAUCUGCUGCUGUUGUGUCUCCGGGAGAGAGAGAAAAGAAUCUAGUUAUCAAAGUGAAAUAAGGAAAUCUGCAAGUGUGAAGACAAACAAAGAAACUUUUGAGACAAACUUAGAAAGUGGCAGUGAAAACCUGGGCUACCAUUCAGAUGAGCCACGGACGGCAAAACUUGCUUCUUUUGCUCCAGUGUCCUCUGAAUCCAGUGUUCAGGAACAACACAGCAGUAGGCAACCUUAUCAGUGUGUUUCUGUUGUCCAUCAUCAUCCUUGAGUGGGUACAAGUCAAGGGGAAAGACAAGAGUUUCAGAAGACCUUUUGGACAGAGCUGUUCAAAUCUCUAGGCUGUCAAGGUCCGUGGACUCAUGCACCUUAGUGGCCAAUUUCCACUCAUUGGCUCACCUGGUGUCACAAAUCAAGGGGGCAUGGCACCCACCUGCUGCAGAAAGACCUACCAGUAAGGUACUGGGUUUUCCAUGAACGCAAUUGCCAUGGAAAUUGAGGGCAGACGGCAGUGGAUUCUAUGGGAAGCUUCAUGGAGGAUGAUUUGCCAUUUUGGAAAAUGGCGUCGGCAACAGCACCACCGUUUGGAGUAUCUGAGUUGCUGUCAUGAGACACAUGAGUUGCUGGAGAGUUACAGCUGCUGCAUUCCUGAGAGGCCUUCCUUGCCUGAUUGGGAAACUGAGGUCCAGAGAGGUCCAGUAACUUGCGUGAGGCUGCUGUGCUGAAUUUAUCCUUUCCUUUCCAACUCAGCGAUGUCUUGCCCCCGUGACUUCACCGCCCUGCAGGACAGGAAAAACCGAGGUGUUGGCCAUGAUGCAAACAUCCAGAUGUUGACGUUGUCGAGCCAACACUUUCGACUUCUUGGUGACACAGCCCACCUCCCUGCAAUCAAUCCUUCUCUUUGGCUGACACCAGUUGGAAGUGGCUGCUGGUUUUGAAACUAAGAUAAGCCUAAGCAAGAGAACUGUACCUGCUCUACCUUUGUGCACACAUGAUAGAAUGUGGAAGAUGAACCAUUCUUCAGACUCUCUCGUCAGAAAAUAAAGUUAUCUUUCAUGCAAAUGAGAAGACACUCAUCAAUUUGACUCCACGGGAGGUUAAUAUUUUUAGAGUAGAAAAACUUAGCUUCCAUUGUUCAAGGUGAAUUUUCCAUAAUGAAAAAGGCAAAUUACCUGUGAAACUGGCAGCUGUUAUUAACUAAACAAUUUCCAAAGGAAAAUUUCCUGGUUUCUGUACUUAAAAACAUUUUUACCCCUUUGAAAUCCUUCUUUGAAAUUGGUCUUGUUGUUCAUCUGGAAAUGUAGCCAAUAUUCACCUAUUUAUUGUGUAGCUAAUUUUCAUAAAAUGGAAAUACUUUAUUAUAAGCGGACUUCAUCUUGAAGUAAGAACAUGGGUGCUUUCUACAUCAAAUAACCAUUGCGUCCAAAUCCUUUUCAUCCCGUGGAUGUUUUGUGGGCAAUAAGAGUGGCUAUUUUCCUUGUGCUUGGAUCGGCACUGCUUGAGUAUUCCAGCUUAAUUAUCUUGAAGGCUUUAUCUUCAUCAAAGUCACCAAGCUACUUGGAAAUAAUAGCUCCAACAUUGAUUAACAGAAUUAUGUGUGAAUAAAUCCCAUCCUCAGAUGCUGAAAGGAGCCAUGACAACAGUAGACAUUUAUGCCACUCUUAUUUUUAUAAUUACAAGUAUUAGAUCCCAUCAUUGUGGAAAAAGAAUACACUUCAUUUUUUUUUUAAAUGAAAUGUGCCUAUUAUACAAUGGGAAUCAGAUUCUCAGCUCAUCAGGCACUUGGGGAAGUUCUUGGAGAUCUGAGAAUUUCUUGGAAUUUUUUUGCCAGCAUCAACUGUCCAGGUGACUUAUCAGCAUUCUAGGUAACUUCUGGUGUUUUGGACUGUAACCCAGCUCCUGCAGAGCCCGUGGCUGUACCCCAGGCCUCCAUCUGGAUGAUUCGUGUCUGAACCCCGUUCACUCAUUUAUCUUUGGUCACACCUCAGGGGGCGAGAGGAUGGCCUGUUGAAUAGAGUUGGGAUUUCCCAUGGUCCAGAGCUUCGGGGAUGGCAGAGAGUGUGUGUGUAAGAGAGACACAGAGAGGCAGACUGUGAGGGUGGAUCUGUCCAUCCAGAAGCCCUGACACACACACAUCUGUGCAGAUGCUCUCUCAGCUCUAGGCACUGUAGCUGCUGUUGUAGUAAUCCUCACACUUUCAUUUCUGAGUUGUGGGAUGUGGGCAGGGAGGCCAGCAGAAUAAUGACUUCCACAAAUAUGUCUGCAUCUUAAUUCAUGGGACAUGUGAAUAUAUUACCUUGCAGGGCAAAAGGGACUUUGCAGGUGUGAUUAAGUUAAUGGUUUUGAGGUGGGAAGAUUCUCCUGGAUUAUCCACAUGGGUCCAUUGUGGUCAUAAGCGUCCUCCAGGAUCUCACUAAGACAAUUCAGGGAGAAGAUGGUGAGGUUCUGGAGAUGAUGGUGAAGUUCAUGGAGAAGACAGUGUGACUCAUGGAGAAGACAAUGUGGCUUCAUGGAGAGUAUGGUGAGGCUCAAAGAGAUAAUGAUGCAGCUUGACAAAGAUGCUCUCUUGACCAAACUCUAGUCAGGCCCUCUGAGCCCUCUUUAUGACUAGGCUUCAACCUUGGUUUAUAAAAUCUGCAGACUCUCAGCACAGAUGAUUUCACCUCCCACCCCACACUAAGAGACUUAAGCAAACACUAGCAUAGUUUCUAACAGCUCAAGGCUGUGUCUCUAGGAUGAUGACUGCCCUCCCUUAAGUCCUGUCUGGGGGAGCUCAAUGCUUCCAAAACCUGGGGGUAGGGAGAUAGCCCUCUGAAUCUCCUCACAGAGCUGCUACUUUAGAAAGCUUGCCAUUAUAAAUUCUUUCUCUGCCCCUUGGAAUAUAAAUCUACCACAUAGAGCUAUAUUCUCAAGGGCCCCAAAGCUGUCCUGGAGCAACAUUCAAGGACAUAACUCAUUGCUUGCUCCUUGCUCUCAGUCCCUGCGGGAGGGUGAGGGCCUAACGUCAGUGGAUGCCAUGCUCUAACCUGUACCACUGCCCUCUCUCCUAAAGAUGUGAAGUUUGUUUCUCUGUGAAUAAGCACCAAUGAACAAAUCCAAGUGGCCUAAUCACAUGGACCAACGCCACUUAAUACCCCUUAGUGUCUUUCUAUUAGCACAUCCAGGCCUUUACAAAGUCCCUUGAUUUUUGUCCAGGAAGUUGAGUUCAGUUCAUGCUGGACCCUCUUCUCUAUUGGAAUAAUUAUGACUGAAUGAAAUUUGUCUUUACCACUUCUGGUGUCAAGCUUGUUGAUCUUUGACAAGCACACAGGAGACAGUGGAGUUUCAUCUGUUUAUAGCCCUCAGGCCUUUACUCCAGAGAGGGACAGACUUAUACCACAUUUGAUCCAGCAACUUUCUUCAGUCCCUCAUCACUGCAAAAAGUCUCACUUCUUCUGAAGCCUCAAGCCAAAGCCCCUUCACAGAUGGAUAAGGUGAACAAAAUUUAGGCACUGUUGAAGGGAGGCAGGGACUAAUGCAAUCAGGUAAAACCUCCUUGUUGCUCAUGCCUCUGGGUCCAGACUGAGAGAAGUACUUCCUUUUUUUUUCUGCUCUGGGAACUGUACUCUGCACUUCCUGAGGUGAGUGAGCCCAGUGAUAUCCUGGUCUGGUAGACUAACCACACCAUGCAUUCAACUGGAAAAGUACAAUGGCCAGUAACAGAAGAUGCAUUCCUGGCAGAUGUAUGUUGAGUUGGUGCUCGGUCAACUGAUACUAGUACCCAUGGAUUCCCUCUUUGUUAACCUGUUAAUUCAGUCCAGUUUUCACCUAUAAGAAUUCUUCAUGCCCAUAAUUACCUCCCUUCUGUACCUUGAGAUGCAGUCUGGCCUCCUGACUCCAGGAUACUGACCUAGCCGGCCCUGCCUAACUCUUCUCAUUUGGAACAUGAUUCACUUACUCAUAAUCUCAGGCCCUUUCUAUCCCUUGGCUCUGGGCUUCUCUGUCUCCUGCACUCAGCAAUUCUUUGGGUGACCUCUAGGGGAACUUCCACUGGCUCCUCCCUUCCUAUGUCUUGGCUCCACCCUCUCCUAUCUUCUCCAGUCCUUGGUCCUCCCAUGCCAAACUACAUACGGUGAGUGCCACUGGCCUGCCACGGAGACAUUGGUGGGCCCCCUCCCUUCUCCCAGGGGCGAAACCCCUUCCUGUAGCUAUUCACCUAAUUCCCUAUAUCUCUACCCCCUAGGCUGGUAUUUUCACAAGUUUCUGGCUGCUCUUUCAAUAGUUGAAAUACCUCACGUAGUUCUAGGUAUUUUUCCGUGGCACUAGAGAUCAAAGGGCUCAUAGGACCCUAAAGAAUUACUUCUGUCCAUGGAUCUUAUUAAAGGCAUUGCUAUUACAAUUAAGGGGUAUGUGUUUACGUGGGAGUGGGCAGUGAGCUUGUCUACACUGUAAUGUUCCGGGUAAGGAUGUUGCUGUAGAUGGCAUUCUGGCCCUUGGACUGUUCAGGCCAAAAUUGGGCCACUGAAUGGAAUGUUAUUACCCAAAAUGUUUUUGACUUGCAGGUAUGUGGUUGCAGAAACUAUUUUUUUUCAGAAGAGGAAACCAUUUUUCGGAAGCCUUUUCAGAAGGCUUUUUCUGGUCAGUUUCUCUAUAUGAUGAAAAUGGCCUUGCCUUUUGGGAUGCAAGUGUCUGAUGGCGUUUAUGCAUUCUUAAGCUUCGGUCACCACAAUGAUGCUUUCGUCAAACUAUCUCAUUUAUGAGGCCAGUAACUCUGAGGCUGCUCUGGUGGAACAUUCUACUUGCUGCUCCCACCCCUCAGCUGUUUAAUUAGGGAAUUAAAUUUUUCUAAAGACUUUUAGUUUCCUGUGUUUCAUUGACUGAGAUUUUUCCUAAUUUUACAAUGUUGGUAAUAAGUUCUUCAGCAUGAUUUAGUAUUUGGAAUUAUUUAAAGCAAGUAUUCAUAUUAAAUGGAAUGAACUUACCACUUUUUAUGCUAAUAUUUUAUAGUCUGGAAAGAACCAAAAUGACAUGAAGGUUUUGCAGGUUAAUUUUGGACCUCAUUUUUGCUUUCAUUUUGAAAGAUAUUAGCACAAUUUCCCAGCAUUCUAUUGACACAUGCAUUAGGUCCAGAUAGUGAUGACCAUAUGUAAUUCUUCUUUCAUGACCCACUUAAAUGCUGUACAAGUUGGUGUAGGAGAAGAUGCCACUGGGAAUAUAUUAUGGUUGUUUACUUACUGUCUCCCCUUUCCCCAGCUUCCACAUCUCACACACACACACACACACACACACACACACACACACACACACCCCAUGUCUUUGUCUUGCUUUUGUAUGCAGUAUAACUCCUAGUACAAGAAAGAUUCUAUUAAGGGGCAGGAGAGAACAAUAUUAGUGGUAUCCACUGUGUUAAUACAUCCAAGAAGAAAAACCAUGAUCAAAUUUUAAAUUUUGAUUACCAUACAAAUUUUUCUUGAGGGAAAAUAGUUGGAUUGUCUGAAUUCAGGGAUUGGAAGUUAAUAUUGUGGGUAACAACAGCUAAAUUACCCAUGUUCCUGGCAUUUUUAUUUCCAAGAUCACUUGGAGAUUCUCACAUAGACACUGAGAUAUGAGACUCAUUGCCUCCAAUAUGACCCACAUUGCCUUCUCUGGGAUGCUCUUGUAAUCAUAAACUGCCACUGUGAUAUUUAUGAAUUCUACCAAUCCCUCAAUAGCCCUUGAAUGGACAUUUCCUCUGAUAUCAAUGAGUCCAAGCAUAUUAUCAUAUGUGCUCCUAUGCAGGAAUUUUUCCAUGGUAUUUUCAAGCACACAAAUUUUGGAGUCAGACUGCUUAUUUCUAAAGAUUGAAAGCACCAGUGGAGGAGAUGAGACACUGAAGAAUGGUGAGGCUUUGCCAAGGUCGCGUGGAAAACCGUAGCUCAAGUCAAGGACUCAAGUUCUAAGCUUCUGGUUCAUGACUCCAUCUACCAUGUAAUACAGUGUUUGACUAACAUGAGUCAUGUGAGAAGGCCACAUGGAUUCUAAAAGGAGGUAGAGGGAGGAGGAUGGGCAGGAGGCAGGAGGGAGUGAAAGUUUGGAAGGAGUGCGUGAGGUGUGUGUGUGUGUGUGUGUGUGUGUGUUGUGUGAUCACUGUUCUAAACAAUGAUCCUCAAACAUGACUGCUUAUUGGAACCACCUGGAAAACUUUAAAGACCAUCUACUUACUGUCCUUAUCCCUUGGGAUUCCAAGAUGAGGUCCAGGGACCCUUUGCAAUCCUUGGUCUGAUGGCUGGUCUGUGGGGACACCACUGCCCCAAGACAAGGGAUGGGGCUGGGAGCUGUGGUCCCAGGGCCUACCUGCUGGGGAAUGAUAGAAGGAACAUUCAGUGCCCGAGUGCCUGGGCAGCUGUCCCCUGAGCAAAUGUGGAACCAGAACUGUGUGGGGUGCACCCUGGGAUGCAUUAUGUGUAACCCCCAGGUCCUGGUUUCCCAUGGCUGCUCUAUGGCCACACUCAAUUUCACUUUGUGUUUAAAACAGACAGCUCCAUGACCCAUUGAUUGGAGAUAACUGUGUUAUGAAAGGUGCCCUGGGGAAAUCCACAGGGUUAAAUUGCAUGCUACAUGGCAAAUACUGGUCUAACUCUCCUUGAGAUCCUUCUAUUCUUUCCCUAAAAGUCUUCUCCAGCACUUGCUAUGACAUCUGUAUUAGUUUUCUAGGGCUGCCACAAAGUACCACAGGCUGGGUGGUUUCGACGACAGAAACGUAUUCUCUCACGAUUCUGGAGGCUGGAAGCUGGAAGGCCAAGACCAAGGGUCCUUUGAAGAGUCAUCAUUUGGCGUAUCUGCCAUGACAGGGCGUCACUGUCGGAGAAUCCCACUUGAACCCAGGGCCAACCUGGAGCUGGCAAGUUGCCAGAGGGUGUCCUGAUCAGCCCUGGGCCAACGAGACAGGCCACGGCACCCACCUCAUUCCCUGCACUGGCCAUGAUCCCGGUUGUGAAAGUCAAGGCUUCACUUGGGUGCCGUGAAGGCUCUUCGGGGUCUCACAAGUCCAGGCAAAAGGACUGAACCUCUUUACAGAGAGGCUGGACAGGCUGCAGCAAUGAAAUCUUUAACAGAUUCCACGGUCCAGCCCGCAUCUCCCUCCGGAUGCUGGUGAAGUUUUUGACAACACAGAUAAGGCCGGAGACUUCCUCUCUUGUCACAGCAUGACUCUCCCAAGUCGAUGUCCCAGCGCUGCUAUGACCUCUUGCCAAGGGAGGAGGUACCCGGGAUACGAACAGCCUGGCAGAUUUGGGGUUGGGGC
RNA transcript from Acinonyx jubatus (cheetah), 8499 nucleotides. It is a transcript of the gene named immunoglobulin superfamily member 5, with no coding region annotated. The record is from RefSeq and is a predicted model, not a curated record. NCBI's taxonomy places the organism in Eukaryota, Metazoa, Chordata, Mammalia, Carnivora, Felidae. The transcript has 16 exons.